UACAGAGGGUGCAAGCGUUGCUCGGAAUCAUUGGGCGUAAAGGGUAGGUAGGUGGUCUCAUUUGUCUGGGGUGAAAGCCCAGGGCUUAACCCUGGAAGUGCCCCGGAAACGGUGAGGCUGGAGUCUUGGAGAGGGUCGUGGAAUUCCCGGUGUAGCGGUGAAAUGCGUAGAGAUCGGGAGGAACACCAGAGGCGAAGGCGGCGACCUGGACAAGUACUGACACUCAACUACGAAAGCGUGGGGAGCAAACAGG
Molecule: ribosomal RNA, 253 nt
Filed under: uncultured bacterium
Lineage: Bacteria
Description: partial 16S ribosomal RNA
Rfam family: Bacterial small subunit ribosomal RNA
Source: RNAcentral